RNAcentral lists this ribosomal RNA (431 nucleotides) under uncultured bacterium. Its description in RNAcentral is "partial 16S ribosomal RNA". It matches the Rfam family "Bacterial small subunit ribosomal RNA", at positions 29 to 507 of the family's 1533-position model. The record is from RNAcentral.
ACGAACGCUGGCGGCAUGCCUAACACAUGCAAGUCGAACGAGACCUUCGGGUCUAGUGGCGCACGGGUGCGUAACGCGUGGGAACCUGCCCUUAGGUUCGGAAUAACUCCCCGAAAGGGGUGCUAAUACCGGAUAAUGUCUUCGGACCAAAGAUUUAUCGCCUUUGGAUGGGCCCGCGUUGGAUUAGCUAGUUGGUAGGGUAAAAGCCUACCAAGGCGACGAUCCAUAGCUGUCUGAGAGGAUGAUCAGCCACACUGGGACUGAGACACGGCCCAGACUCCUACGGGAGGCAGCAGUGGGGAAUAUUGGACAAUGGGCGAAAGCCUGAUCCAGCAAUGCCGCGUGAGUGAUGAAGGCCUUAGGGUUGUAAAGCUCUUUUACCCGGGAUGAUAAUGACAGUACCGGGAGAAUAAGCUCCGGCUAACUCCGUG